RNAcentral lists this microRNA (22 nucleotides) under Bos taurus (domestic cattle). Its description in RNAcentral is "bta-miR-2457". Lineage: Eukaryota; Metazoa; Chordata; Mammalia; Artiodactyla; Bovidae. The record is from miRBase by way of RNAcentral.
UUGCCAACUGCAGAGCCGCGCU